Molecule: ribosomal RNA, 254 nt
Filed under: uncultured bacterium
Lineage: Bacteria
Description: partial 16S ribosomal RNA
Rfam family: Bacterial small subunit ribosomal RNA
Source: RNAcentral
UACGUAGGGACCGAGCGUUGUCCGGAAUCAUUGGGCGUAAAGAGCGUGUAGGCGGCCACUUAAGUCCUGCGUGAAAUCUUGCGGCUCAACCGCAAGCGGUCGUGGGAAACUGGGUGGCUAGAGUGCGGGAGAGGAGAGUGGGAAUUCCUGGUGUAGCGGUGGAAUGCGCAGAUAUCAGGAAGAACACCCGUGGCGAAGGCGGCUCUCUGGAACGCAACUGACGCUGAGACGCGAAAGCGUGGGGAGCAAACAGG